AUGGAGGCUGCUGCUCGGGCAUUGACCCCUGUCCUCCGUAAGCUCGGUGAGCUGCUCGCCAGAGAAUACAACCUGGAGAACCGAGUAAAGAAAGGUGUACAGUCACUCCUUAUAGAGUUGGAGAUGAUGCACGCCGUACUUCGUGAGGUUGGCAAGGUGCCGCCGUAUCAGCUCCAGGAGCCGGUCCGGAUUUGGGCUGGCAAGGUGAGAGACCUGUCUUGUGACAUGGAAGACGCUGUUGACGACUUCCUGGUGCGUGUUGGUGAGGGUUCAGGCAGUAAGCCAACGGACAUGAGGACUCGAGUCAAGAAGUUCCUCAAGAAGACCACCAAACUGUUUGUUAAGGGCAAAGCACUUCAUCAAAUAUGUGAUGCCAUUGAAGAAGCUCAGGAUCUUGCCAAGGAGUUGGUGGACCUACGUAAAAGGUAUGAGCUUGACAUGUGUAGCACUACCAGCGGUGCUACCAUUGACCCUCGUGUGUUAGCUCUACACAAAAAUGUAGAGGAGCUUGUUGGGGUUGACCGCACAAGGGAUGAGCUUAUCAAAACACUGAUUUGUGAGGACGGGAGUCCCAAGGAGCAAUUGAAGACGAUCUCUAUUGUUGGUGUUGGUGGGCUAGGCAAGACAACGCUCACCAAAGCAGUCUAUGAGAAGAUCAAAACCCAAUUUGAUUGUGUGGCUUUUGUCCCCGUGGGUCAGAACCCAGAUAUCAAGAAAGUUUUCAAGGACUUACUCUAUGGCCUUGACACUGAAAAGUUCAGUGACAUUCAUAAUACAACACGGGAUGAAAAUCUACUCAUCAAGCAAAUCAGUGAUUACCUUGUGGAUAAGAGGUACCUCAUCGUAAUCGAUGAUAUAUGGGAAGAACAAAUAUGGAGAUGUAUAAAUUGUGCUUUGUAUAAAAACAAACUUCAUAGUCGGGUAAUCACAACAACCCGCAAUAUGAGUGUGUCUGAAGCAUGUCUCUCUUCCAGUGAUGACAUGAUUCACAAAAUGAAACCUCUUUCCGAUGAAGAGUCGCAGAUACUCUUGCAUAGAAGAAUAUUUCAAAGCGAGGAGAAAUGUCCAGAAGAUUUGCGAGCAGUAUCAAGAGAGAUACUGAAGAAAUGUGGUGGAGUACCAUUAGCCAUCAUUACAAUAGCUAGCCUUGUAACCAAAGGAUAA
This 1164-nucleotide ribosomal RNA is filed under the name Triticum aestivum (bread wheat). RNAcentral's name for it is "partial small subunit ribosomal RNA". The record is from RNAcentral. Lineage: Eukaryota; Viridiplantae; Streptophyta; Magnoliopsida; Poales; Poaceae.